UCAGGUGGCCGCAGAGAAUAGGCCCAAGCGACUGUUUACCAAAAACAUAGGUUUCUGCUAAGUCGCAAGACGAAGUAUAGGAGCUGACGCCUGCCCGGUGCUGGAAGGUUAAGGGGAUCUGUUAGAGUAAUCGAAGCAGUGAACUUAAGCCCCAGUAAACGGCGGCCGUAACUAUAACGGUCCUAAGGUAGCGAAAUUCCUUGUCGGGUAAGUUCCGACCCGCACGAAAGGCGUAACGAUUUGGGCACUGUCUCAACAACAGACUCGGUGAAAUUGUAAUUCCGGUGAAGAUGCCGGAUACCUGCGACAGGACGGAAAGACCCCAUGGAGCUUUACGGUAGCUUGCCAUUGGGUCUUGGUACUACAUGUACAGGAUAGGUGGGAGGCUUUGAAACCAGGACGCCAUUUUUGGCGGAGCCAUCCUUGGGAUACCACCCUUGUAGUACUGGGACUCUAACCAUAGGCCAUGAAUCUGGUCUUGGGACACUGUCAGGUGGGCAGUUUGACUGGGGCGGUCGCCUCCCAAAAGGUAACGGAGGCGCUCAAAGGUUCUCUCAGUACGGUCGGAAAUCGUACGUAGAGUGUAAAGGCAAAAGAGAGCUUGAUUGCAAGACAUACAGGUCGAGCAAGGAUGAAAAUCGGACUUAGUGAUCCGGUGGUUCUGCGUGGAAGGGCCAUCGCUCAACGGAUAAAAGCUACCCUGGGGAUAACAGGC
RNAcentral lists this ribosomal RNA (715 nucleotides) under Clostridioides difficile. RNAcentral's name for it is "bacterial LSU rRNA". It matches the Rfam family "Bacterial large subunit ribosomal RNA", at positions 1769 to 2482 of the family's 2925-position model. Lineage: Bacteria; Bacillati; Bacillota; Clostridia; Peptostreptococcales; Peptostreptococcaceae. The record is from RNAcentral.